CAACGGAUCUAUUGGCUCUCGCAUCGAUGAAGAACGCAGAGAAAUGCGAUAAGUAAUGUGAAUUGCAGAAUUCAGUGAAUCAUCGAAUCUUUGAACGCACCUUGCGCUCCUUGGUAUUCCGAGGAGCAUGCCUGUUUGAGUGUCA
This 145-nucleotide ribosomal RNA is filed under the name uncultured Cortinariaceae. RNAcentral describes it as "5.8S ribosomal RNA". It matches the Rfam family "5.8S ribosomal RNA". Rfam says of the family: 5.8S ribosomal RNA (5.8S rRNA) is a component of the large subunit of the eukaryotic ribosome. It is transcribed by RNA polymerase I as part of the 45S precursor that also contains 18S and 28S rRNA. Lineage: Eukaryota; Fungi; Basidiomycota; Agaricomycetes; Agaricales; Cortinariaceae. The record is from RNAcentral.